CAUUGGAGAUAUAUGUUUGCCUUUGUUAUGGAUUCAUAUGCUUGUAGUCAUCAUUAGUCUUCUAAUCUCGAUAACUUUCAUUUCUUGUUGUUUACAUCUGUGACAAAAUGGAUGGCACUAGAGAUUGACACUAAGGCAUUUCUUGUCGUUUACAUCUGUCAUUAGGAAUGUAUUGAAGCAUAUUAGACAUAUAUAGUCCGCAUUCAUUUUGUUCUUUCUCUUGGAGGAACAUCAUGUAAUUUGUGUAUCCUAACUAAUUUUAUUUGUAAUUUGACAGGAUAAGCUUGAUGCUAAAAUUAUUGUGGCAGGCUAUUCAACUACUUGUAGUCAGAAGAUACACAACCACCUUAGAUUUUUGAGCCAAUGUCUUCUCGUGGAGAUCGUGUAGUACAUAUAUCUGGCACACCUGAGCAGAAGAGUUUAGCUGAAAACUUGAUUCACGCAUUAAUUAUGUGAGAAAAGCGAUGAUAAUAAUGCUUCUCUCGUGAGAUGUGCGCAAUUAUCAAAACGAGGAUGGUAAAGGAAGCACAUGACACGGAGAAUCAUCUUAUGCAGUCGGCAGAAAGCUAUGACGUUAAAGGAGCUUGGAGAGGAGUGACUAUGUGGUUGUUAUGGUGCUUGAUGUAGCUAUUCAGAUGCAUUGAUGCCCGAGUCAGUUCAAGUUCUAUGUUGUUAACUUAUUGCUUCAAUCUAAUCAGGGAGGAGUGUCAGAUACAUGUACACAAGGCUGGCUGAAAUCACUAGAGAACUGCUAGGAAAGACACUGGCAUCACUUUACCGUUAGUGGAACUAUUGAGGUAGUGGAUGAAGACAGUGCAAAUGAUGCCAGUGAAGGUGACGGUGUAACUCUCUUAAUCACUGAACUGCCAGCUCAGAAGUGGACUCGAGAUUAAAAGGAAUUUUUAAGAGACGGAGAUCAAAUGAUGCAGCGAAACCAAAUGAUGCAGUGAAUAUUCGAUGCUAAGGAGUCCUUUGAUUUUUUUCAAAGAUGCUUCUCAUCAGGCCAAGAAACCCGAGACAGAAUUCUUUGCGGCACCACCUCUUGCACAAAAUAUCGUGGCUCCCUCGUGGAAAGAGAUUAAUCUUGAAGCUCUGAAGUCAGAUCAAAGUCCAACUUACAGUCAAAUUACUCGGAUGUCAUCUACUGAUUUGAGAAAUACAUGGAGUGUUUUCCCAAGGCAGUACGCAGAGGAGUACGAGCAGUGUAUCGAGACUAUUCUAUCAGCGAAUAAACAGUUGUACGUUGCCACAAAGUUGGGCGAUGAACUAUCACGACUGUUCUUUAUGCUAUUAGGCCGGCCGUGUUUAAUUUCUCUAAACUUAGUCUUUUUUUUAUGCUUAGCCAUGAUUUCUAUAUAUGUAACCUACAUCAAGUAAUUAGCGGUGUUUCUAUUCAUGCUUUCAACUAAUUCUAUAGAGUAAUUAGGCUUAUGAUUUGUAUAGUGUACCGGGAGAUAGUUUUUUAUAUCUUGGGGCUACCG
Molecule: long non-coding RNA, 1481 nt
Organism: Spinacia oleracea (spinach)
Lineage: Eukaryota; Viridiplantae; Streptophyta; Magnoliopsida; Caryophyllales; Amaranthaceae
Exons: 8
Source: RefSeq, a predicted model, not a curated record